GAUGAACGCUGGCGGCGUGCUUAACACAUGCAAGUCGAACGAUGAAGCCCAGCUUGCUGUUUGGUUUAGUUGCGAACGGGUGAGUAACACGUAAGCAGCCUACCCCUCACUCUGGGAUAAACGCUUGAAACGGCGUCUAAUACUUGAUAUGUGCCGUCACGGCAUGGUGUGCGGGUGGAAAGAUUAUGCGGUUGGUGCUGGGCUCGCAGCCUAUCAGCUUGUUGGUGAGGUAAUGGCUCACCAAGGCUUCGACGGGUAGCCGGCCUGAGAGGGUGACCGGCCACACUGGGCCUGCGACACGGCCCAGAAUCCUACGGGCGGCAGUAGUGGGGAAUAUUGCACAAUGGGCGGACGCCUGAUGCAGCAACGCUGCGUGAGGGAUGACGGCUUUCGGGUUGUAAACAUAUUUUAGAAGGGAAGAAGAGAACGUGACGGUACCUGAAGAAAAAGCCCCGGCUAACUACGUG
Molecule: ribosomal RNA, 467 nt
Filed under: uncultured bacterium
Lineage: Bacteria
Description: partial 16S ribosomal RNA
Rfam family: Bacterial small subunit ribosomal RNA
Source: RNAcentral